This 156-nucleotide ribosomal RNA is filed under the name Mimulus sp. Barker 7335. RNAcentral describes it as "5.8S ribosomal RNA". The stretch from base 1 to 122 matches the Rfam family "5.8S ribosomal RNA", at positions 35 to 154 of the family's 154-position model. Rfam says of the family: 5.8S ribosomal RNA (5.8S rRNA) is a component of the large subunit of the eukaryotic ribosome. It is transcribed by RNA polymerase I as part of the 45S precursor that also contains 18S and 28S rRNA. Functionally, it is thought that 5.8S rRNA may be involved in ribosome translocation. The record is from RNAcentral. Lineage: Eukaryota; Viridiplantae; Streptophyta; Magnoliopsida; Lamiales; Phrymaceae.
GAUGAAGAACGUAGCGAAAUGCGAUACUUGGUGUGAAUUGCAGAAUCCCGUGAACCAUCGAGUCUUUGAACGCAAGUUGCGCCCGAAGCCUUUAGGCCAAGGGCACGUCUGCCUGGGCGUCACGCAUCGCGUCGCCCCUAAUCCUCGCUCAUAGAG